Non-coding RNA from Carassius gibelio (silver crucian carp), 635 nucleotides. The record is from the annotation of a RefSeq genome assembly. Lineage: Eukaryota; Metazoa; Chordata; Actinopteri; Cypriniformes; Cyprinidae.
UUAGAGUAAGUACAUGUAACAUCUGUAACAACAUCUCUUUAAAAUACAGCUGUUGUGAAUCCUGCCCACUUCUUUGCAUGGUCAGCACAUGCUUCAGUGCUCUGAGAGUGUUUAUAGAGCUGUGAGUUUAACACUUCAUGACUGAGAGCAGAACAGAACACAAUCUUCAUCAUCACACAAGACACAACAACAACAAUGAACAACAUCAUCAUCCUCAUCUGGACCAUUGCAGCUUUUAUUCAAGCCUCCAGAGGAGUCACUCUGACUCAACCUAAAGUUAAAACUGUCCAGCUCGGUCAAACAGCUACAAUAGAGUGUAACAUAGAUGUAGGGAUAUAUAGUGACUACUUAGCCUGGUAUCAGCAGAAACCUGGAGAUGCUUCUAAACUCCUCAUUUAUAACAUAAACAGCCUCAAGUCAGGAACUCCAUCUAGAUUCAGUGGCAGUGGAACAGCGAGUACUGGAAAAGAUUUCUCUCUGACCAUCAGUGGAGUCCAGACUGAAGAUACAGGAGAUUAUUACUGUCAGAGUAGACACUUUAUCAGUGGUAGCUGGGUGUUCACACAGUGAUAAAGAGUCGUACAAAAACCUCCGUCAGUCAGAGUCACAGUGACUGCACUGAUACAGCUGAGAGA